Non-coding RNA from Nicotiana sylvestris (wood tobacco), 74 nucleotides. The record is from Rfam. NCBI's taxonomy places the organism in Eukaryota, Viridiplantae, Streptophyta, Magnoliopsida, Solanales, Solanaceae.
AGGGAUGUGGCACAGCUUGGUAGCGUGUUUCCUUUGGGUAAAAAAUAUCACAGGUUCAAAUCCUGUCAUCCCUA